UAAUUGAAGAGUUUGAUCAUGGCUCAGAUUGAACGCUGGCGGCAGGCCUAACACAUGCAAGUCGAGCGGUAACAGGAGAAGCUUGCUUCUCGCUGACGAGCGGCGGACGGGUGAGUAAUGUAUGGGGAUCUGCCCGAUAGAGGGGGAUAACCACUGGAAACGGUGGCUAAUACCGCAUAAUCUCUUAGGAGCAAAGCAGGGGAA
Molecule: ribosomal RNA, 204 nt
Filed under: Providencia rettgeri
Lineage: Bacteria; Pseudomonadati; Pseudomonadota; Gammaproteobacteria; Enterobacterales; Morganellaceae
Description: partial 16S ribosomal RNA
Rfam family: Bacterial small subunit ribosomal RNA
Source: RNAcentral